UACCAGCAGCUCAAGUGGUGAUCGAUAUUAUUGGGCCUAAAGCGUCCGUAGCCGGUCUGGUAAACCCUUGGGUAAAUCGGGCAGCUUAACUGUCCGAAUUCUGAGGAGACUGCCAGACUUGGGACCGGGAGAGGUCAGAGGUACUCCUGGGGUAGGGGUGAAAUCCUGUAAUCCUAUGGGGACCACCAGUGGCGAAGGCGUCUGAUCAGAACGGGUCCGACGGUAAGGGACGAAGCCCUGGGGCACAAACCGGAUUAGAUACCCGGGUAGUCCAGGGUGUAAACGCUGCAGGCUUGGUGUUGGGGGUCCUACGAGGGCACUCAGUGUCGUAGAGAAGUUGUUAAGCCUGCCGCCUGGGGAGUACGUCCGCAAGGAUGAAACUUUAAAGGAAUUGGCGGGGGAGCACCACAAGGGGUGAAGCUUGCGGUUU
Molecule: ribosomal RNA, 430 nt
Filed under: uncultured archaeon
Lineage: Archaea
Description: bacterial SSU rRNA
Rfam family: Archaeal small subunit ribosomal RNA
Source: RNAcentral